UAUAGAAUAUUUAAAUCCAAUUGACUGUUAUUUAUCUAUGAGCAAAUGCAAAAAACGUGUCAUUUUUGUAAUUUUGAGAAACCCUGGAUAAUUACUAAUAUCGUCCAGACCGAAAAAAACAAAUUAGGAUAAAUCUUGACCUUUGGGCCUAACACAGCAUGAGCACACCUUAACUAUUAUACACAAAGGGCGAGGCAUAGUUGCGGGCGCUCACCAGUGUGGCCCUCGGCGAACGGCGUUGCUGGGGUGGGCAAGCUCGAGUGAUGGAGGGCGUCGCCCACAUGCGGAGGGGUGAUGACCCACAAGUAUAGGGGAUCAAUCGUAGUCCUUUCGAUAAGUAAGGGUGUCGAACCCAACGAGGAGCAGAAGGCUCUGAUAAACGGUUUUCAGCAAGGUAAUAACUGCAAGCACUGAAAGUAGCGGUAACAAGUGAUGGUGUAG
Molecule: long non-coding RNA, 441 nt
Filed under: Hordeum vulgare
Lineage: Eukaryota; Viridiplantae; Streptophyta; Magnoliopsida; Poales; Poaceae
Description: long non-coding RNA (HVUL_LNC018823)
Source: RNAcentral